RNAcentral lists this ribosomal RNA (486 nucleotides) under uncultured bacterium. RNAcentral's name for it is "partial 16S ribosomal RNA". It matches the Rfam family "Bacterial small subunit ribosomal RNA", at positions 30 to 507 of the family's 1533-position model. The record is from RNAcentral.
AUUGAACGCUGGCGGCAUGCCUUACACAUGCAAGUCGAACGGCAGCACGGGUGCUUGCACCUGGUGGCGAGUGGCGAACGGGUGAGUAAUACAUCGGAACAUGUCCUGUAGUGGGGGAUAGCCCGGCGAAAGCCGGAUUAAUACCGCAUACGAUCUACGGAUGAAAGCGGGGGACCUUCGGGCCUCGCGCUUUCGGGUUGGCCGAUGGCUGAUUAGCUAGUUGGUGGGGUAAAGGCCUACCAAGGCGACGAUCAGUAGCUGGUCUGAGAGGGCGACCAGCCACACUGGGACUGAGACACGGCCCAGACUCCUACGGGAGGCAGCAGUGGGGAAUUUUGGACAAUGGGCGAAAGCCUGAUCCAGCAAUGCCGCGUGUGUGAAGAAGGCCUUCGGGUUGUAAAGCACUUUUGUCCGGAAAGAAAUCCUUGGCCCUAAUACGGUCGGGGGAUGACGGUACCGGAAGAAUAAGCACCGGCUAACUACGUG